AGUAGUUUGAUCAUGGCUCAGAGUGAACGCUGGCGGCAGGCCUGAUACAUGCAAGUCGAACGGCAGCACAGCAGAGCUUGCUCUGGUGGGUGGCGAGUGGCGGACGGGUGAGGAAUACGUGGGAAUCUGCCCAGUCGUGGGGGAUAACGUAGGGAAACUUACGCUAAUACCGCAUGCGCCCUUCGGGGGAAAGCCGGGGACCUUCGGGCCUGGCGCGAUUGGAUGAGCCCACGUCGGAUUAGCUAGUUGGCGGGGUAAAGGCCCACCAAGGCGACGAUCCGUAGCUGGUCUGAGAGGAUGAUCAGCCACACUGGAACUGAGACACGGUCCAGACUCCUACGGGAGGCAGCAGUAGGGAAUAUUGGACAAUGGGCGCAAGCCUGAUCCAGCCAUGCCGCGUGAGUGAAGAAGGCCCUCGGGUUGUAAAGCUCUUUUGUCCGGAAAGAAAAGCGCCGGGUUAAUACCCUGGUGUCCUGACGGUACCGGAAGAAUAAGCACCGGCUAACUUCGUG
This 512-nucleotide ribosomal RNA is filed under the name uncultured bacterium. RNAcentral's name for it is "bacterial SSU rRNA". It matches the Rfam family "Bacterial small subunit ribosomal RNA", at positions 1 to 507 of the family's 1533-position model. The record is from RNAcentral.